CGAGGAGAGGCUCGAUGGAUGGAGCCCGGGGCCGCCUUGCCCCAGGGCCGGGCCGCCCUGGGAGCGGGCCAGCCCCGGGGGACCCGGCGCCUCGCGGGGCGCACAGGGCCUGGCGGGACCGCGCUCCCGGGGGCGGGCGGGAGGCAGGAGGGAGCUGGCGCGCGGCCGGGGAGGGGACCCGCCGGGGAAGCCGUGGGGCGGGAUGUCAGCAGCUGCAAAACGAGCCCGCCUCCCUUCCCGGUAUCCUCGCGGCCACCCCGCGGAAGGUGGCGCCGCGCCAGGCGGGCACCAGAACCGGCGCAGCCACGCCCUGCCGAGGGUGCAGGGCCUCUCUCCGUAAGUGACUACUAUCUUCAGCCUCAUUCAGGAGAAUGUCGAGACUCAGGGAGGUGAAUUGGCCCAGAG
This 405-nucleotide long non-coding RNA is filed under the name Equus asinus (donkey). Its description in RNAcentral is "lncRNA (ENSEASG00005037288.1)". Lineage: Eukaryota; Metazoa; Chordata; Mammalia; Perissodactyla; Equidae. The record is from RNAcentral.